RNAcentral lists this ribosomal RNA (216 nucleotides) under Glomeromycotina sp. RNAcentral describes it as "partial small subunit ribosomal RNA". The stretch from base 92 to 216 matches the Rfam family "Eukaryotic small subunit ribosomal RNA", at positions 738 to 864 of the family's 1831-position model. Lineage: Eukaryota; Fungi; Glomeromycota. The record is from RNAcentral.
UGGUCAGUAGGUUGGUCGUGCCACCGGUACGUACUGGUCUCACUGAUUCCUCCUUCCCGAAGAACCGUAAUGCCAUUAAUUUGGUGCUGCGGGGAAACAGGACUGUUACUUUGAAAAAAUUAGAGUGUUUAAAGCAAGCUAACGCUUGAAUACAUUAGCAUGGAAUAAUGAAAUAGGACGAUCGAUCCUAUUUUGUUGGUUUCUAGGAUUGACGUA